RNAcentral lists this small nuclear RNA (107 nucleotides) under Anas platyrhynchos (mallard). Lineage: Eukaryota; Metazoa; Chordata; Aves; Anseriformes; Anatidae. RNAcentral also lists the same sequence under 3 other names. The record is from RNAcentral.
GUUCUCGCUUUGGCAGCACAUACACUAAAACUGGAAUGAUACAGAGAAGAUUAGCAUGGCCCCUGCACAAGGAUGACACACAAAUUCACGAAGCAUUCCAAUUGCUG